AGCUACAUCAUAAUCCCGAUUGUUUGCAAGUUAAAGACAAGAUAUACAAAAAAGAAGGACUUUAUCAACUGAUCAUGAAGCAAGGACAUAUAAUAUUUGUUGUUUGUCUAUUAAUGGUCUUAUGUGGAACAAGUUCUGGGUGCGGUUGUGAAGAUCAUGGAGGUAAAUGUGGACGUAGUUAUUGUCCGAUUGGAUUCUAUAAAGAUUACAGAUCGCAUCCAGAUUGUCAUUAUACAGAGUUCUGUUGUCUUCCCAGAAACUCGAUGUGUUAGUUAUUGAAGUACAAGAAACUAAUGUCCACUUCAAGAUAUGACAUUACAAUAGAUAAUGUACAUUUCGAAA
Molecule: long non-coding RNA, 342 nt
Organism: Mytilus californianus (California mussel)
Lineage: Eukaryota; Metazoa; Mollusca; Bivalvia; Mytilida; Mytilidae
Exons: 4
Source: RefSeq, a predicted model, not a curated record